Molecule: long non-coding RNA, 1300 nt
Organism: Artibeus jamaicensis (Jamaican fruit-eating bat)
Lineage: Eukaryota; Metazoa; Chordata; Mammalia; Chiroptera; Phyllostomidae
Exons: 3
Source: RefSeq, a predicted model, not a curated record
CCCCACACGCUGUACAGUGCCUCUCCUUCCCAGGACAUCUGGCCCUGCAUGAUCUUCAGUCUGCCCAUGUCUGUCCUGUCCAGGCUGGUUGGCGGACAAAGCAGAUGGACGCCCCAUCUUGUGGUCUAGGAGGUUGAUUGAAACGUUCCUUCCUGCUGGUCUGACUCCCACAAACCAAGCCAGGAUCUCUCCUACCUGAGCACUUGAUCCUGGUGUCAGGCCUCAGGCCAUAGGACGUCAGCCCUCGAGCUCUACACCCAUUCUCCAGGGUUAGCCGGGCUACACAGAAUCAAGCCAAAUUACACAGGAUCAAGUGGGGCUACACAGGAUCAAGCCAGGCUACAUGGAAUCAAGCCUGUUUAUACUUUCCCCAUCCUGGAGCCUUCUCUGGCUUCGCCCUUAACUGAUGUAAGUCUGGCCACACAGUCACCAAAUCUGCCAGUCCUCCUGGGUCCCCACACGCUGUGCAGUGCCUCUCCUUCCCAGGACAUCUGCCAGGACCAGAAACGUUUCUUUCCUCUUUCAUUUCCGUGUGUUUUUCUCUGGAGUUGGCCUCUCUUUGCUCCUACUUGAUCAGCUCUCUAAAUUAAGACCCAGUCAGAGGAAAACAAAUGUUCAGGAUGAUUUUCAAAGAUACAGUCAUUUCAUUGCUAAAAACCAUUGCAGUGCAUGUUUUAAUGCAAUUCCUGGUGGCGUUUCUCAUGGAAAAGUUGAUAAUAAUUUUGCCAGAGAAAUUCUUAGGGUAUCUAGACGACGCUUCGAUGAUGACAUGUAUAAAACAGAUGUUCGGUGAUAUGAUAAAACAUGUUCUUCUGUUUCUGGUGAGAAUGAUUGUGGCUGCUUUGCCAAAGGAAUUCAUAGUAUAUCCAGACAACACCUCAACGAAGACAUGUAUAAAGCCGAUGUUCACUGAUAUGAUAAAACAUGUUCUUAUGUUCCUUCUGAGAACCAUUGCAGCUAUUUUGUUGAAGAAAUUUAUAGUGUAUCCAGAUGAUACCUUGACGAUGACGUGUAUAGAAUGGAUGUUCGCUGAUAUGAUAAAACAUGUUCUUAUGUUCCUUCUGAGAACAAUUGCGGCUACUUUAUUGAAGAAAUUCGUAGUAUAUCCAGACGAUGUCUCGAUGAUGAUGUGUAUAAAACGGAUGUUCGCUGAUAUGAUAAAACACGUUCCUUUGUUUCUGGUGAGAAUCAUUGUAGCUGCUCUGCUGAAGAAAUUCUCAGUGUAUCUAGACGAUGCCUUGAUAAUGAUGUAUGUAGAACAGAUAUGCGACAAUAUGAUAAAACAUGUUCUUAUGUUUCU